This 330-nucleotide ribosomal RNA is filed under the name uncultured bacterium. RNAcentral describes it as "bacterial SSU rRNA". It matches the Rfam family "Bacterial small subunit ribosomal RNA", at positions 568 to 898 of the family's 1533-position model. The record is from RNAcentral.
UGUGUAGGCGGUUCUCUAAGUUCGGUGUGAAAUCUCCUGGCUUAACCGGGAGGGUGCGCCGAAAACUGGAGGGCUUGAGUAUGGGAGAGGAAAGCGGAAUUCCUGGUGUAGCGGUGAAAUGCGUAGAUAUCAGGAGGAACACCUGCGGUGUAGACAGCUUUCUGGACCAUCACUGACGCUGAGACACGAAAGCGUGAGUAGCAAACAGGAUUAGAUACCCUGGUAGUCCACGCCCUAAACGAUGCAUACUUGGUGUGAGCCGUUCAUUCGGUUCGUGCCGGAGCUAACGCGUUAAGUAUGCCGCCUGGGGAGUACGGUCGCAAGGCUGAA